This 254-nucleotide ribosomal RNA is filed under the name uncultured bacterium. Its description in RNAcentral is "partial 16S ribosomal RNA". It matches the Rfam family "Bacterial small subunit ribosomal RNA", at positions 524 to 776 of the family's 1533-position model. The record is from RNAcentral.
UACAGAGGCCCCCAAGCGUUAGGCGGAAUCACUGGGCUUAAAGCGUGUGUAGGUGGUUUAAUAAGUCAACUGUUAAAUCUUGAGGCUCAACCUCAAAAUCGCAGUCGAAACUAUUAGGCUAGAGUAUAGUAGGGGUAAAGGGAAUUUCCAGUGGAGCGGUGAAAUGCGUAGAGAUUGGAAAGAACACCGAUGGCGAAGGCACUUUACUGGGCUAUUACUAACACUCAGAGACGAAAGCUAGGGUAGCAAAUGGG